Molecule: unclassified non-coding RNA, 348 nt
Filed under: soil metagenome
Description: partial contains 5.8S ribosomal RNA, internal transcribed spacer 2, and large subunit ribosomal RNA
Rfam family: 5.8S ribosomal RNA (bases 1-120)
Source: RNAcentral
GAUGAAGAACGUAGCGAACUGCGAUAAGUAAUGUGAAUUGCAGAAUUCAGUGAAUCAUCGAGUCUUUGAACGCACAUUGCGCCCGCUGGUAUUCCGGCGGGCAUGCCUGUUCGAGCGUCAUUUCAACCCUCAAGCCCCCGGGUUUGGUGUUGGGGAUCGGCUCUGCCCUUCUGGGCGGUGCCGCCCCCGAAAUACAUUGGCGGUCUCGCUGCAGCCUCCAUUGCGUAGUAGCUAACACCUCGCAACUGGAACGCGGCGCGGCCAUGCCGUAAAACCCCAACUUCUGAAUGUCGACCUCGGAUCAGGUAGGAAUACCCGCUGAACUUAAGCAUAUCAAUAAGCGGAGGA